AACGAACGCUGGCGGCAUGCCUAACACAUGCAAGUCGAACGGAACCGCCGUGUCUAUGGGCGCACCUGUGCUUAACGCGUGGUAAGCUGCCCGUGGGUACCGAAUACCUCCCCUUAGGGUAUCCUAAGACAGGAGAAGGUCAUCGGGCCAACGAGUUAUCGCCGUUGGAUGGGGCCGCGUUGGAUUAGCUGGUUGGUAGGGUAAUAGCCGAUCAAGGCGACGAUGCAUAGCUGGUCGGAGAGGAUGCUCAGCCACACUGGGAAUGAGACACGGCCCAGACUCCUACGGGAGGCAGGAGUGGGGAAUAUUGGACAAUGGGCGAAAGCCUGAUCCAGCAACGCCGGGUGAGUGAUGAAGGCGUUAGGGUUGUACAGCUGUUUUAGCCGAGAUGAUAAUGACAGUACCGGGAGAAUAAGCACCGGCUAACUACGUG
RNAcentral lists this ribosomal RNA (433 nucleotides) under uncultured bacterium. Its description in RNAcentral is "partial 16S ribosomal RNA". It matches the Rfam family "Bacterial small subunit ribosomal RNA", at positions 29 to 507 of the family's 1533-position model. The record is from RNAcentral.